AUGGAUUCUCAGGCUCUAGUUGCUCCCCAGAAAAGCCUCAGCAAGUCAUUUUACCCUUUGCCUCUCACUCUACAUGGGUCUUUUCGAGAAUAUCUUAAUGAAAUAUUUCCUCAUCUCUGCGGACAAAGAGAUUUUUAUUGUGGGGGUGUCCCAUUAUUUUCCAUCUCAGGGACUCCUUCUUCAUUGUUUCCUUUUCUCUUCUGCUUCUCUUUCAUGGCUGCGCGUUUCUUCUUCCAGUGUUGCGGGCUAGGUCAGCAGCUGCAGGAGAACUUGAUUAGUGCCUUGCCUCAGUGCAGAUGCAUUUCCCUGACAGCAUCGAUCCUGGGUGCUUUCGCUUUGCAGGCAGCUCCACAGAGGAGGAGCUUGUACUGCAAAGGAGGUGGACUGUUGUCUGUUCAAGGUUGGAGGUGUAUUUGGAAUGCUUGCUUCACUCAGAGCCCUUUUCUCUAGGAAUUGCCCAUACUGGUAACCCUUCCUAAGGAGGUAGGCAUAAAAAUCAUGUUUGUAUCUCCCUCCCUGGUACCACCAGUGGACACCGGAUCAAGGACACAAAUGGCAGUUAGGAAUCAGUGCUGUCAAAAUUAAAGAGACUCAAGAAUGUCCUUCGAUGGUAAUCUGGGGAUCAUGAGAAAUUGGGAUCUAUGAUGGCUAUUUUCAACCAUAAGCAUACUGAUGAUGGGUAGAGAAUGCUGGAGAAUGGAGCAGAUGUACAGAGAGAAGCAAAACCAGUGAAUCAUGUGGUCACGGUGGAGACAGAGGAAGUACCUUGGUUCUAGGUCUCAUUCUUAAACCAAUGCAUGGUCUGAACAUUGAUUUUUUUCCCCCCCUCUAGGAUCACCAGAAGAUGGCCCAUUUUAACCUCAUAAUAAACUUCUCUUGAGUGUCUUUCUCUUCCUGGCA
This 900-nucleotide long non-coding RNA is filed under the name Sus scrofa (pig). RNAcentral describes it as "lncRNA (ENSSSCG00070007160.1)". Lineage: Eukaryota; Metazoa; Chordata; Mammalia; Artiodactyla; Suidae. The record is from RNAcentral.